UUCAGGAGAAGGAAGUUUGGGGAGAGAGCAGGGCAGGAAGAAUAGGAACUUUUUAGAUAACGGUCACUUGUAAUGGGUUUCCUUUCACCGACGCUGCCUCCCUGGUUACCUCACAGCGUACCUGUUUGUUACUUCACAGUGAGGAAGGAUGGUUGCCAGGUGAGUGACAUCACAUCAGAGCCCUUCCACUGGCUCUGUUUUCUUCUGGUGCCAUGCUCCUCUCUGCAGCUAUAGAGCUUCUGGAAAGCCUGGAGGAAUUGACACUCCUGUUCACCGUGUCAUGUUCAGGGCACAGGGUGUGGUAAAUAUAGGAUCUUUUCUUCCUUCUUAGGAGCGGGAAAAAAAGUGCCAGGAAUGGGAUGGAGGUGAGUGAGGAGGACAUGUCCUUACUGCCAAGAGAGGGGCUCAUGUGAAAGCUGGGUGUGGUAUGUAAGGGGUGACUGGCUGGUAGUUUCCACCUGCUCAGGGUGGAAUGACCCCAAGAGGCAGCAGGUUGGGUAGACAUGCUCUUUGGCUGGAGCUCUGGGAAGUUUGGUACAAGGCUCUAGAGGAGAGUGAAAGAACAAACCUGAGAUCACUCUUUAGCUGCUUUGUGUUGACAGUUCACUUUGGAUCUGUGUUUACUUUUAUUCCAUUGGCUUAGGAAGUGACCUCAGGUCAAGUGAGUGAGAAAAAACAAUUUAAAUUAAGUCGAAGUACCCAUGAAGGUGGCAUUUCAAUUCAAACAAAUUUUAAGUACCUACUGUGCCUCUAAAAGCAGUUUUAUUUUGCAUUUGACUUUUUUUUUUUUUUUUUUUUUAAUAAGGUAGUUCAGACAUUAAGCCUAGGGAACCAUCCCUUUAGGGCCAUGUUUUGACUGUGUCAUUUGCUGGCAGUCAGAAUUUUUAAGAACCAGAAGGGAUCUCAAAGAUCAUGUCAUCUGAUUCUGUCAUUUUCGUUUUCAUUUUAUGAAACUCAAAAAAGUGAGGUGCCAAAUUAUGUUAGCGCAGGCAUAGCAAAAACGCAACUGAAAUCACAUUCCCUCUGCACGAUGUUCGCACAAAGCAACAACAUAAAACUUGUCUUUUGCUAUUAACUACACUGCACUGGUUAUCUGUUGCUGCAUCACAAACCACCGUGCACUUAGUGACUUAAACCAGUUUAUUAUUUCUGUGGUUCUGUGGGCUAUCUGGGCAAUUCUUGCUUGGGGUCUCCCCUUGCUUGUGUGAUGCUCAGAGGUCUGAGCCUCUGAAGCCUCAAAGGGGCUGGAUGCCCAGGACACUUCACACACAUAGCCACCGGAUGAGGCCCGGCUGCUGGGCUUGGGAUCGCCUUGUCUCGAAGGUCCCUUCUGCUCUGUAAACUUGGGCAAGUUAGUCCCUGUCAAUUCUCAAUUUUUGAGAAUAUCUUAGGUUGCAAGGAGGAAAUUCAUUUAAGUUACUUCUCUGACUUCAAGACUACACAUACAUGUCACAUCGAUAAAACUGAUCAACUGGAUUUCAAGAGCAAAACAACUGGGCAUGGUUUCUCCACAGGAGCAAUGUUCAUGGAACCCCUGACCAAAGAUCUUCCACGGACGAGAUACUUGGAGCCGUGGGCUUCUCUUGUGCCAAAGCUGCAAGCUUGUGGAAUCCUCUUGCCGGCCCUUUGCCUCCUGCCCGCCUCCGCUGGCCUUGGGCCGCCAGUCCUGCUGGUGCCCUCUGCCCCCCCACCCAGGGUCUGGGCUCUUACUUUGCCUGUCCUGUGAAGCUGUCCAGCACAGCUGCUGCCUCAAGAAAGAAGAGGGGCUCGCUCUCUCUGCCCCCUGCUUCAAUCACUUCCUAUCUGACAUGAGCAGCAGAAGUGCUAUAACCAGCCACAGCAGGUACACCUCAGCUGACAGAUGGACAAGGCGGCAGUUAACCAAUGAAUAAGCCGAGAUACCUGUGGCCCGUGAGGGAAAAGAUCCUGAAAAUGAUAAAGAGAGGCACUGGAGAGAUGUCAGGUGAUCUGCUCUGGAACCUUCCAUUAAGUUUCUACAACUGUGAACUGAACUGCACCUGUUUACUGCUGCACACGCCCUGCUAUCUGCAUUUCUGUAUCUUCCAAACAUUCUAUUCUAGGAUCGUCUGACUCGGAGAAUCAAAGGCCAGCCACCAUCAAAUAAAGACUUAAAGAGGCCUCUCCAGCAAACACCUGCACCUGAAAUGUCCACGUAGGGCUCAUCUGUGUUUUCCUGAAGACUAGGCAAUCAGGCAGGAGCACACUAAGAAGGCAGGAAUCUCCCCUGGGGCAGCCCUGCCUAUCGGCUGCUGCCACCAGCAUUCAGUGGCCUGUGUCAACUCUGAAUUUGGAGUUUGAGAGCGCCCCUGUACAAGGACUCCGUCUGGGGAGACUGGGGACAAGAUCUGGCUUGAGGUGACCAUCGCAAGAGUUUUCCUCCUGCCGACAGCACAGGGCGGCAUAGAUCUGGCCCUGCACGCUGCCGUCCUCCCUCAGUGGGCCUGGUCCUUCAGCUACACAGUGCUGGGGAGACUGCAUUGGAUUUAGCCUCCCACAACCUUGUGAAGAGAAUAACUGUAAUUCACAUAGUACCUGAUAGACUACCAAGCACUCAGGGUGGUGCGGGCACACUAGACAUCAACCGGAGGUUUCUGCCAUCAGAUCUGAAAAUACGGAGAACCGUAUUUUGUGGAGCCAUCGCUGCCUCUGGGACCUGGCAAGGCAGCGUCCCAGGACUUCAAGAUCUAUAGUCUGAGCCAAAGAUAACUGAGAAAAAAGCUUAAAAAAAAAAAGUGGUGGGGGCGGGGGGAGGGUGAGGAAUGAAAAAAGUGGAGAGGCCUCAAACCUUGGAUUUCAUCCCUCGAAUUCCAAAUCUUACAUGGAGUAAACAUUUGUCUGGUACUGGGCUGGAAUAAGUCAUAAAGUACCCUUGCCGGUGACUUGUUCCAUUCUGUCCAAGUGCUAACACACGCAACUUGACCACCGGGCUCCGGGUGCGGCCCCAGGCCUCCUGGGCCAACAGAGUCAGACUCUUCUACCAGCUUCAACACAGCCUCAGGAAGAGCUUGAGGCCCCCGCCUACUCUUCUGCAUCUUCCACAGGGCGGCUCUGUAGAAGGUGACGCUCUUUCAGGCUCCCACGCUUGUCUUGGUGCCGGGGCCCCUCACUCCCUGCACUGGCAGACUACUUCUCCCGCCUUGCCUUGCCUUCCCUUCCCCUCCUUGAUUCUUGAGAGUUUUGGUCCUCUGCUGCUCCUCACACCUGCUUUCCAUCACCAGGAUGGAUCCACCUCCCGGGGCCCCGCCUUCCUCAUGCUCCUGAGUAGCAAGUCCGACAGCCAGGUCUUCCCCGCAGUGAAUUCUAAAAGCGUUUUUCAACUGAGGGCUGUUGUACAGCACCGGUCUGUGCUGGCAAUGAGUAACCGAGACAACCGGCUCUGAAAUAAAAACCGUCGGGCUUGCGGGGAUGCGAAAAACACUUAGACUAAUUCCUCCUCAAACCAUACUCUGAUCUGUCAUGAAGAAUCCUUACAUCUACUUUUAUUGCUCAUCUGCUCAGAGCUGCAAACCACUUAAGAUCUGGCUGAAUAAACCUAGUUUUCUCAAUCAUUCCUCCUACUCUCCCCCUCCCACCCCCAUCCACUCAUCUCUUCCCAGAUUAAUUCACGAACACACAUCCCACAAGCAGGGGUCAAUGGAUCAUGAUGAUGAUGACACUUAUUCCUGAGGGAAUAGCACACGCACAGGAGGAGUCAUAAUCCUCAGGGAUCCCAGGGCAGCACCCGAAGACACACAGACUGCUGCACCUUGACCAAGAGCAUCGCUUUAGAAGCCAAGAGUCAAGGGCUCUCCUCACACUUACGUGUUCUUCCGAAGCAUAGAGGACUUCCAUUAGUCGCUGCACGAGGUCGUCGUUUUCCUGCCCAUGCUCUUGACAGAGUAGCUCAAUCUCUCUCAACUUGCCAAAGUAGAAAUCCCUUUCCUUUUCCACACCUUCAAGGGCAAGUUUUAAUGAAUGUACCUGCAAGGGAGGGAGGGUGGAAAGAAAAUUCCCCCAAAAUCCGGUAUAAAAAAUGUGACCAACUACACCUGCCUACAACAUGUGAAACAUGCAAAGACAGAUGUGCCAAAAUGACUACUAGGCAACGGAGCUUGAGCCCGGGCCACAACGUCCAACUUCAACAACACACUAGUCCUUCCCUCUGCCAACUGAGUGUUCAUAACCACUGUCCGAGGGAUUGUUUCUGCUCAAGGUGGUUGCAUCCAGACCCUGAAUGAGCCUUCCUCCUCUCUUAACACAGACUAGGGCACAUCCUUCUACUCUGUCCAGCCUCUGCAACGGGGAAGCAGAGGAGAGGGCUAGCACUGUGGUUGCUUGAGAUGUAUUCUGAGGACCCUACUUUCUUCAGGUAACCAUAUUUUGUUGUGGAGCCCUUCGUAAAUGUUCCUGAGCCACACUAGGCAAAGUCUUUCUACUGAGAAACUGCGUCUUAGCUACAUGAGGGAAACUGGGCAAGACUGAAGGUGUGGUUCAGUGGAUCUGUUUCAAUUCCUCUGGUUUUAGCUUUGGGGACAUCGCAGGAAAUAGGGGGAAGACUACAAGAAGGAAGCCCCAUUCCCUCAGAAUAAUAGCCCUUGUUCCCUUUUACCCUGGGAUGCUGGUUCCAGGACCUCCCAGGGCUGGGUGGCCUCUCACAGUGAUUAUGGAGAUGGCACCAGGGAAGGAGCCAGCAGUGAGGCAGUAUCACCCGGGCUGAAGGAAAGCUGACAGUGCCCCACUCCUACGAGCACAGUAGCUACUCACAGGCCUAAACCAUGACCCUGUUCCUGCUUCCCGAGAAUCCCUUUUUUUAAGUCCCUUGUGCAUUUAUAUUUACACAGACAAUAUUUGUCAGGAGGUAAAUUGAAUCUUUCAUGGUCUCCAUCAGGUGAAAUCUCUCAUUCAGUGUAUUAAAAAUCACCCUAACGGAAUUUCCAAAAAUGACAUUUGGAAUGGGAAAUUGUCUUCUCUAGUAAUCCUGGGCCUUUGGACAUGCUAUUUAUCAAACGCUUACCAAACAUCUGCAGUGUUGGUCCCCUUCCUGCACACCCGGCAUAGGCCUCGGGGAUAUGGCCCCUCAGAGUUCACCUCACUGCCUCCCUCACCCGCUGCUCAAAAAGCAGCUUUCCCUAGCUUUCACUUUUAUUUUUGAUGAUGCUAUGGUUGGGAUAUUUCUAAGAAAGGAAGGCAACCAGCAGCCUCAAGUCCAGGAAAAAGAAAACUUCCCUUUUUCUAGAAAUCCUUCCUUGCUUUACAACAAACCACCCUCCUCCCCAGGCUUGGCCACAGAAUCCCUCUGAAGCCUGCAUUGGUGCCAGUGGACAGAUCUCUGGCAGUUGAGGAGUCUUGAGUCUGUCAGCGCUCCCUGAAGGAGGCAAGAAGGGUCUCUGGAGUACUUCAACCCAUGGAAACUAGGUUUGUCUGCCUCUCGAGGGUGCUUUGGUCUGUACAAUGUGCAAAGAGGUGAGGCUUUUGUAGAAAUAUCCAGUCCAGGUUGGCGUUGGGUGGUAUUCCAGAUCGCCAGGCAAUAGAUACACAGCUAUAGACAUCCCUGGUAAAAAGUGAUAGAGGCCCAAGUAUAUGAGGAUAGCCAACUGGCAAAGGAGAGUCCAUGUUCACGGUCGCACUCAUGCAGAGUGAUGCCACCCGCACCCUCAUGUAUCAAACCAGAAGCCUAAGUGGUGGAGGGGAUGCUGGGGAUGGACCCUUGAGUAAGUCAAGAGGAAGAGACAAGAGGGGGGACGUUCUCUUCUCCCAGUUCUCCCCUCCCUCAGUGUCUGCACACUGCACGUCCUCCUAGGGAGGCCGCCCAAGCCCCAGCAUCCGUCCAAGCCAACUGACGCCCACUCUCCAGCCCCCAGGGGUCCCUGAGCGCAGUGGUGACUCCACCCUACUUCCUGUUUGCUAACCCACUUGCCAUAAAUGGCCCCUAAUUAUUUCAGUUAUGUCUUUUUCUCCCCUUUUGAUUCAUUUCUAUCAUUGGAAUUGUCUAGCACAGUGGUACUUUUAUAGCAUGUCAUGGGAGACUGCCUGAAUAGAGGCAGGAGGCCAAGAAAAGGAGAAUUCUUCAAGUUUAUGGCACUCGUCACUUUCUCUAUUACGACAUGUAAUUCACUCUCCAGCCUAGGCAUGUCCUCGUCCUAGAGUCCUGAGUCCCAACACAGCAAUGCCUCUGCGGCUACCCAUCAGCUUUAGGGAGCCACCCUGCAGGUUACAAGGGCAGAAAAUGGAGGGGGCAAUAACAGAUAACCAUGCAAAUGGGUCUGGGUAAGUGUUCAGUAAACAGAUGAAUGAAUGCUCACAAUCUGGGGUGUGUAUAACCUUCGCUCUGAGGGACUGGGGAGGGGAAGAGAUGGGCACACUCACUCCUCCUUGAUGUAAAUGCGUCAGGGGAUAGGUGGGGGAGUGAAGCCCUUUGGAAGUAAUAAAGGAAUUACAGGACCAUUGGGAAGUUCCCUCCCUCUCUAGAGUGACAUUUUGGAUGGUAGGAUGAGGUCUGGGUUCCUUGGGGAUGGGAGGCUCUUUGUGUAAACGGACAGCUAAUGAGUGUAGAGCCAGCCCCAAGGAGAGGCAGUGGGUCUGGUGGACUAAGGCUGAAUGGCAGAGGGGCAGGAAGGGUCUUGAGGUUUCUGUGUGGUUAUACUUUGGGUUGGAAGUUUGGAGACCAGGGUGUGGUAGAGGGGAAACAACAGGGAGGAGAGAAAUCAUGACAAAACAUGAGAUAAUCAAGAUAUCAAAAGAACUUGGGUUUCUAUAAGAAAAGGGUUAUAAAUCUAAAGCAUUAUAGACCCACGCCUGAAUCUCUUUAGGUCUACUCUGAUUUGCUCUGAGCCUUAGGCAUGUGGCCCAAGGCUCAUUAUGGCUGUCGUACCUGCCUUUUAUGUGAGAAAAACUCAUUACUGGGAAUACCAUACGGGCUCAAACUGAGAAUGAGCAGGUAAUUAGAACAUUCCAGAGUUUCUAAAUCAAAGUCCUGCCCAUUGGAUAACUUAAGGUUUCACUAUUUUCAUUAAAGUGACCAGAACUGUAAAGAAAUACCCUAGCUAAGCAGCUGCCUGCUUUUAAACUAGAUUCUUGAUUGCAAAUAUACAAUUAUCUCAAAAAUGGUUUCCAGACUCUUGCUGGCUCAUCAGGAAUCCGAUUAAUCAUUGGGAAUGGCCCAGCCACUUGGCUGGGAACAGCCUAAGAACCUUGAAUAGAGGCUCCUCUCCGGGUAGUGGGAGUAGCCAGGAUAAAAGACUCUGCAGCUCAGGGCGGGUGGCUUCUUCAGUGGGCCUCAUGCUACCAAUCGUUUUAUUACCUUUAAGCUACAUAUAAUCUCAGGCAAAAUUAGCUAUCGUUAGGUAGAAAGCAUACCUAAACUUUUAUAUGGAAAUUUUCAAAGGCAGCAGAGCUAGAUCUACCAUAACCAUGAAGAAUGUUAGACGAAAAGGGAAGUUCUUCGACUUCAACCACAACCAUGGCCUUCUGAUCCCCCAGUAUUGGGGUCAGUGCUUCUGUGGCAUCAAACAUCUGCUGUCGUGGCAAGCAUUAGGUUCUCGCUUUUGUUUGCACGAUCACCUACCCCGUACAA
This is a long non-coding RNA of Acinonyx jubatus (cheetah), 7573 nucleotides long. RefSeq lists it as uncharacterized. The transcript is spliced from 4 exons. The record is from RefSeq and is a predicted model, not a curated record. Lineage: Eukaryota; Metazoa; Chordata; Mammalia; Carnivora; Felidae.